UAGGGAAUCUUCCGCAAUGGACGAAAGUCUGACGGAGCAACGCCGCGUGAGUGAAGAAGGCUUUCGGUUCGUAAAACUCUGUUGUUAGGGAAGAAAAAAUGUAUAGUAACUAUAUACAAAAGAGACGGUACCUAACCAGAAAGCCACGGCUAACUACGUGCCAGCAGCCGCGGUAAUACGUAGGUGGCAAGCGUUGUCCGGAAUUAUUGGGCGUAAAGCGCGCGCAGGUGGUUUAGAAAGUCUGAUGUGAAAGCCCACGGCUCAACCGUGGAGGGUCAUUGGAAACUAAUAAACUGGAGUGCAGGAGAGAAAAGUGGAAUUCCUAGUGUAGCGGUGAAAUGCGUGGAGAUUAGGAGGAACACCGGUGGCGAAAGCGGCUUUUUGGCCUGCAACUGACACUGAGGCGCGAAAGCGUGGGGAGCAAACAGG
Molecule: ribosomal RNA, 429 nt
Filed under: Verrucomicrobiota bacterium
Lineage: Bacteria; Pseudomonadati; Verrucomicrobiota
Description: Verrucomicrobia bacterium partial 16S ribosomal RNA
Rfam family: Bacterial small subunit ribosomal RNA
Source: RNAcentral